GAUGAACGCUAGCGACAGGCUUAACACAUGCAAGUCGAGGGGCAGCAACACUUUCGGGUGGUUGGCGACCGGCGCACGGGUGAGUAACACGUAUGCAACCUACCUACUACUAGAGGAUAGCCCGUCGAAAGACGGAUUAAUACUUUAUGACACAGGGGUGCCGCAUGGCAAUAUUUGUUAAAGAUUUAUUGGUAGUAGAUGGGCAUGCGCAGGAUUAGCUAGUUGGUUGAGGUAACGGCUCACCAAGGCUACGAUCCUUAGGGGUUCUGAGAGGAAGGUCCCCCACACUGGUACUGAGACACGGACCAGACUCCUACGGGAGGCAGCAGUGAGGAAUAUUGGUCAAUGGACGAGAGUCUGAACCAGCCAAGUCGCGUGAAGGAAGACGGUAUUAUGUAUUGUAAACUUCUUUUAUAGGGGAAUAAAAUGCGGCACGUGUGCUGUUUUGUAUGUACCCUAUGAAUAAGCAUCGGCUAACUCCGUGCCAGCCGCCGCCGUAA
Molecule: ribosomal RNA, 500 nt
Filed under: uncultured bacterium
Lineage: Bacteria
Description: partial 16S ribosomal RNA
Rfam family: Bacterial small subunit ribosomal RNA
Source: RNAcentral